Molecule: long non-coding RNA, 19228 nt
Filed under: Gossypium barbadense (sea-island cotton)
Lineage: Eukaryota; Viridiplantae; Streptophyta; Magnoliopsida; Malvales; Malvaceae
Description: long non-coding RNA (GBAR_LNC001957)
Source: RNAcentral
AUUUGUGAUUGUUUGUGGUGAGAAAAAAUCAUCAAGAGUAAGCUCAAUCUUGCAAAAAGAGCAAGAAUAAACAAACCCUUCCCACUGAAUUUUGCACAAAUAACAACUACAGUUUUGAAGAUGAGUAGGUCGUUUCGGCAAGAAAGUAAGGGGAUGCUUACGGUGGUCGUAGGUGUGAUUAAUCUCAAGGGGUAGCUCUGCACAUUGUUUAUGAAGGUUAAAGAAUUCUCAGAAAGAGAACAAUCUGAACAAUGGUAAAUUGGACCAGAUAAUGGUUUCAUACAUCCGGAGCAAUCGCGAUUGACUUCUUCGUUAUGGUCUUGAAUGAAGAGCAAUGGAUGUUGAUGCAAAGGAGUAGGAAAAUUUGGAGCAAUGGAUGAUUGAAGCAAAGCACAGUUGAUGUGCAGAUCGAAUUUACAAGGAUCACAAUGAUAAACGAAUCCCGAAGAAGGCCUCUGACAAAAAUCACACCCCCAACCACCCUCGUAAGGAGAUUUAGGGAAAAGAGUGAGAAGGUGUUGAGGGUGGAAAGGAUGAUUAAGGUGGGGGGUUAACUCUAACUCCGCACAUCUUUUAUGAAGAUAAUACUUACAUUCGUUGCAGACAUAGGUUGGACCGUCUAUAAGUUUCCCACACACAAAGCAAUUGUUUUCUUCUUCACAUGAAACACUGUGAUGUUGAAUGAAGAACAAAGAAUGGUGAUGGCUGAAAUGUUGAAGUUCCAUCUCUCCCCUUUUCUUACACUCAGACACAGUGAGAUCCAUUAGACGAAAACUUGGCUCUGGUUAAGCCUCCUGCUUAGCAAAUGGCUGUUACUUUCGCGCAGAGAGGAAGACAGCAAAUGGGGCAAAAACAAGGGUGUUAAAUAUGAUGAAAACACUAAACUGUCAUUGCAAAAUCUCGUUGUUGGCUACAUUGUUAUUAUUGAAACAGAAAGUACCAUAUAAGCAUCAAAUUGGUCAUUUUAAAAUAUGUUUUCGAUUUAAAUGCAUGAACAAAAUGGGUACAAUAUAUAUAUAUAUAUAUUUUGUAUAGAGAUCGGCAUUGCACAAAGCUCGAAAGUAAAGAGCGAAACAGACAAACGAGUCUCAUGUGAAUAGCAAAUUGAGUCGGUAAGGCGAGAACCAGAGAGCCAACUGCAUGGUUGGAAUCCCUACUCCCGAGGAUGAGUUGUUGGGUUGGCCCUCAUUAUAUUAUUAAAAAUGAUUAAAAUAUCUUCUAUACAUAAGGCUCAACUUUAAAAUGAUUAAAAAUUAUCGAUCAAAAUAGCUCUUUAAAAUAUUAAAUUUAAAAUAUAUUUUGAUAUAAUUAAAAAUGAUUGCCUAAACAAUCCUUUUAAAGUAUAUUUAAUGCUUUGAUAUAAAAAGGUUCACUUUUAAAAUUUUAAAUUUAAAUAAUCGUGUUUAUUUAUAUUGAAACACGUUAUAUAUACUAUUUAAAUAAUUAUGUAUUUCCAAGUAUCAUUAAGAAUUUUUUUUAAAUAAAUUACGCUUUCUUUUUGCAAAUUUGUAGUUAAGUCACUUAACUUAAAAAAUUUUACAAUUUGAUCACUAAAAUUUAUAAUAAUAAAAAAUUAUUUCAACACAAUUGAAUUUUAUAUUUCAAUUAGAAUUUUUUGGUUCACUCAUGAAGUUUGUAAUAAUUAAAUAAAGAAAAAAGUUAACAUAUAAUCUUAAUUUUGUAAAAAAAAUAAUGAAAGCUUAUUUUUAAUUAUAUAAAAUUUGAAAUAUUUAUUUAAGUCAUCUCUUAACAUAUUUUAAUAUAAAUAAUAAAAGUAAAAAAAUUAAUUUUUUGUAACGAAUAUAAAAAAAUGUUGACAAUUAAGCCAUUAUAAGGGUCCGUUUGUUUGCCAGUAAAAUAUUUUUUGGAAAAUAAUUUACGGAAAAUGAUUUACUUUUCUGAUGUUUGGAUAAAUCAGUGUAAAAUAUUUUCUGUUGUUUGGCAGAUUUCCUGAAAAUAUUUUCUGGAAAAGCUAUUUUUAUAUAUAUUAAUUAAUUAAUUUAUAUUUUAAGUUGUUUUUACAUAUAUUACAAUGAUUUUUUUAUAAAUAAAUAAAUCAAAUUAAAUAUAUAAUAAUGCUCAAUUAUUAAGCUAGAAUAUUAACCGUCAUAAAUUGAAAUCAACCAAAGUUUAGAUAGUAACACAAUGAUUGGAGAGUAAAAUGCUAAAUUAUUUAAAACAUAUCAAAAAAAUAGAACUGGUUCAACCAUUACGACCCUACAAUGAAAAAUGGGUUAAAAGAGGAACAAUAUAUUACACAAAUUACAUACAUAUAUAUAUAGUUCAAAUUAACUACGACAAGAGAAGCUAUUGUAUCAAUGGACUUCAUUUUUUUUUUCUUAUUGUCCUUUGCUUGUAUCUGUAUAAACCCCACAAAGAAGAACUAGCAAUGGAGGCCUCAUGAAUGGCAGUCAAAAUUUGGUAUAUAUAAAUGGGGAACACGAUGCAGGCGAGGGAAAAAAGAACUAAUGAAGUGCUGCUUUGUUUUUAUGAGCAGAUAUUGGCUUUGGCAAUAAUAGGCUGCUGAAAGAGUAAAAUGACUGACGAUAUUUCAAAAGAGUUUGAUAGCAAGAAAAUAACAAGUUAUUGUGUUUUAGCUGCUAUUAGUUCCUAAUUCCCUUGUUAGCAAAAUUUCACAAGUCUUAUACAUGAUUCACUACUUACGUAACUAUAUGCCACUUUUAGCUAACUGCCAAUGACCGACUACAAGCAAGACGUUCACAAUAUAGAAUGCAGAAAUGGGCUAGGGCUGCAACACACACACACACAAAGAAAGUUUAUUCCAGUUCACUGCUACAGCUAUUUUUAAAUAUAAGAGCAAUCAUUUUCAACUUCUAUAAAAGUGGAUAUUCCAAAAGCUGUAAAGAAAACUCAUAAAUAAGGUCUAACAAAAAAAGAAAACCAAAGAUUCAAGGGUAAUGAUGAUGAUUAUGAUGGAGAACAAAGCAAACUCACCUGAUCCUGAUAAAGAUUAUCGUUGAAUAUGUCUUCAAGAAACCAUUGAAACACAAUAUCAAUGAAACCCAUAUCUUUUCUAAGAUAUUAAGCAACACCUAACACAUUUAUUUCAUCAUGCUUUGAACAACAAUAAACAACCAUAAGGCAGUAUGUUAACUCAGCAGAUCCUUCGACAGCCAGAAAUUUCAUCAAAAUUCCAUCACUCAUACCAGCAUAAAGAUCCAACAAAACAACCAAAGAAGAAAAUGUAAAGAACUCGCUACCAUUUAUUUAAUUAAGUAAAUAACAUAUGCAAUUGUUUCAUUUUUAGCAAGUUUAAAACAUUUUUAAACAGGGAAAUUGCACACUAAAAAAACUUAUCACGAAUGAACAAGUUUAGGAAGAAGAACAAUUCUUAUUUCUUCUAAUCUGAAUACAGCCUUUUAAAGAAUAGCAGGAAAAAUAAAAAAGGAAAUAAUCUUUAGAAAUUAGCCUAUCCCUAAAAAUUAGUAAUUAGAUUAUGGUUAAUAGUACAAGGAAAUUCCUAGAACUAAGGUAGAAAAUCUGCUUAAAUUAAGGAAUUCUAACACUCCCCCUUAAGCUGGAGUGUAGAUGUUAAUCAAACCCAACUUGCCCAUAGUUUUUUUGAACAUUUUUCUGCUCAAGCUUUUGGUUAACACGUCUGUUACUUGUUGUAUUGUAGGUAGAUAUGAAACACAAACUUCCCCUUUGUUAAUUUUCUCCGUAAUAAAGUGGCGAUCAAUUUUCACAUGCUUGGUAUGGUCAUGGUGUACAAGGUUAUGAGCUAUGCUAACUGCUACCUGAUUGUCACAGUAUAAUGUUAUAGGUUUUGUAUAGGAUAAUUUUAGUUCUCCCAUUAGCCGUUGUAACCACAUUCCUUCACAUAUACCGUGGGACAAAGCUCAAUAUUCAGCUUCAGCACUGCUGCGUGCCACAACAGACUGCUUUUUACUCCUCCAUGUCACUAGAUUACCCCAAACAUAGCUCCAGUAACCACUUGUGGAGCGCUUGUCAUUAACUGCCCCUGCCCAGUCUGCAUCAGUGUAAACUUCUAUUGUAAUACCCCCUACCCGUAUUCAUUGCCGGAAUAGGGUAUGAGGUAUUACCGGAGUUUACGAUUUUUUUUAUAUUCAAUAUAACCCCUUUAUAAAUAUUUAACCUUCCCUGCAAUAUUAAAUCGAGACCAAUCCACUUCAACCAAACCAAUUCAACAUAUUUUCAAGAUAAAUUCAUGCAUAUUUAUAAGAUAACGUCAUCACAUACCCAAAACCAAGUUUGUUAACCAUACUAAUGGCUAACUUUAUAUUCAUUUCAUGUUAACAUUUACUUUAUUAGCUUAUACAUGCCAUUGAUUUCCAAAAUAAAGUUUCUUUAUAUACCGAAAUCCUGAGGUUGAUAGUGUGAUGUGUCUCCGACCAAAUCUGACAUUCGAGCUCUUAACACUACAAAACAGGGAAAAGGAAAUGGGGUAAGCACUUCGUGCUUAGUAAGCUCAUGUAACAAGAAUUAUACUUACCUAAUAUUUUCAAUACAAUAUAAUAAACAUUCAUAUAUUCAUUCAAUGCAUUAUUGCCCUAAUAUGCACAAACUCAACAUUCAAGUUAGUACAAUAAUUUCCAUGUACCAAUAAUAUAUACCAUGAUUGAUGAGCUCAUCAAUAUUAUAAUUUCUAUUUCCUUUUUAUUUUUCUAUAUUUAUCCCGUUGAAUUUAUCGAAAUUUCGAUGGAUUUUCAGAGGUACACUUUUAGUGUACAAUUCCGGGUUCGUCAAUUCAUAUUCAUGUGCGCACAUUUCCAUUUCAAAGAGCACACUCCCGCGAACCUCAACCUUGCAGCGAGAUUACCAGUCCAGGCUAAAUCCCCUACAAUAUAAACUCAUAGAGUAUUGUCGGGAUUACCAAUCCAGGCUAAAUUCCCUACAACGACAAUUACUCUAAUGAGCUUGGAUCUGAAUUGCCAGUCCAGGCUAAAUUCAGACCCUAAUUCGGAUUACCCAUCCGGGAUAAAUCCAUUUUCCACAUAUUCUUCGGGAGGGCUAUAUCAAGAUAGGAUCACCCGUCCGGGCUAGAUCCUUUUUACCGUCAAUUCCUUCUCAGAGAUCCAUCGAAUUUUCCUUUCAUUCAGCCGGGAUUUCUUCCCCUUUUUAUCAAAUAUAUCAAUGUUUCAUAAAAUUUUUAUGUGAUGAAUACUCAAAUCAUAUUCACAUCAAUAACAUACAUUUCAAGUAUUUAAAAAUAUAAUUUAAGUUACACGAACUUACAUUGAUAUUUGUUCGUGUACAAAAAUCUACUAAUCCUAAACUUUUUCCUUUCCUCGAUCUAGCUUCGUAUUUGAAUCUUCUGUAUCUAAAUAAAUAAAUUUAAUUAUCAAUUUAAUACAUUUCAUGUUCAUAUGCAACAAUUUCUACAAUUUCUAUAAUUUCAUUAUUAUUAUUUAUAGUUUAUUCAAAGCUGUCUAUUUGAGUCAUAGUCACUAAAUUAUUUAUAACUCGAGAUACGGAACUCCAAAUUAAGAUCUGUUAAUUUUCUCUGAAACUAGACUCAUAUAUAUUCUAACCAUAAAAUUUUCAGAAUUUUUGGUUUAGCCAAUAAGUACAGUUUAUUCUUUAAAGUCACCCCUGUUUUGCUAUCUGACAGUUCUGACCCUUCUUCACUAAAAAUUAAUUAUCUCUUCAUACAGGAUUCAAAUGAUGUUCUUGUUUGUUUCUCUUAAAAAUAGACUCAUUCAGGAUUUUAUAAAUAUAAAUUUAAUCCCAUAAUUAUUUUUAUUCAAUUUUUUAUGAUUUUUCAAAGUCAGAACAGGGGAACCCGAAUUCAUUCUGACCUUGUCUCACAAAAUUCAUUAUAUCUCAAAAUUUACAAAUUCAUUACUUACACCAUUUCUUCUAUGAGAAACUAGACUCAAUAAAAUUUAAUUCCAUAUUUUUUUCAUCCCCUAAUUCGAAUUAUAAAAUUUAUAGUGAUUUUUCAAAGUUAGUCUACUGCUGCUGUCCAAUAUUGUUUUAGUGCAAGCUAUUUAUUACCAUUUUUCCCCUAAAUUUUUAAUAAAUAACAAAUUCUGACCUUGUCUCACAAAAUUCAUUAUAUCUCAAAAUUUACAAAUCCAUUGCUUACACCAUUUCUUCUAUAAGAAAUUAGACUAAAUAAAAUUUAAUUCCAUAUUUUUUUCAUCUUCUAAUUCGAAUUAUAAAAUUUAUGGUGAUUUUUCAAAGUUAGUCUACUGCUGCUGUCCAAUAUUGUUUUAGUGCAAGCUAUUUAUUACCAUUUUUCCCCUAAGCUUUUAAUAAAUAACAAUUUCAUCCCUACUCAAUUAGCCUCUCAAUUAAGCUGAUUUUUCUCAAUUAACACUUUAUUCUACCACCUUAAACUAGUUUACAACCUUUAGGAAUCAAAAUUUCAGCAAUAGACUUUAAUUCCAAACAUUUUCACAAUUAGGUCCUAAAAAUCAAUUUCUAUUAAAAUUACCUAAUAAAAUCAUCUCAUAAAAAAAUUAAAGCUUUAAUUUCAUUCUAUUUCAUCAUAAACAUACAGCACUCAACCAUGGUGACUUUCAAUUUCAUCCAUAAAAUCAAAAACUAAUGAAUUUAAUAGUAGGACCUAGUUGUAAAAGUCUUAGAAACACAAAAAUUACAAGAAAAAGGAAAGGAUUAACUCACUUGGUGCAAAAAUUAUGGAAUACCAGCUUAGAGAACCCUCCUAUGGCAUUUUUAUCUGCUGGAAUUGAAGAGAAAUGAAGAGAAAUCUAGAUAUUUCCUAUUUAGUCCUAGUUUUAUUUAGUUAAUUUUGCAAUAUUCCAAUUUUGCCCUUAAUUUAUCAAUUUUCCUGUUGAUUUCAUGCCCUUGCUGUCCAGCGCAAAUAAAUUUUAGGUCUAAUUGCCUUUUAAAUCCUUUCUCAUUAGACACUUAAGCUAUUUAAUCAUCCCAUCCACUUUUACAACUUUUACAAUUUAGUCCUUUUUAUUUAAUUAACUAUCCAAACAUUAAAAUUUCGUUAUAAUACCACAUUACUAACAUUUCAUAAAUAUUUAUAAAAUUAUUUUCGACUCAAUUUUACGAGAUAGAGGUCCUGAUACCUUAUUUUACCCAAUUUCUUCAAUAAUUUCUUUUUCUAAAUAACCAUUAAAUCGGUAAAAUUUUUCUAUCAAUAUUUUCAUACGAUUUUCCUAUCAUAUCAAUUUUCAUGCAAAAAUAUUGAAAUAAAUUUCUCUUUAAAUUGGAUUUGUGGUUACGAAACUACUAUUCCGAUAACCUUGAAUUUAGGCCAUUACAUCUAUGCUUCGAUUUACAUCUUUCUUGAAAUGCAACCCCUUACCAAUAGUCCCUUUUAAGGAUCUCAAUAUCCUGUAGGCAGCUUCCAAAUGUUUCUUCCUAGGAGCAUGCAUAAAUUGACUAAUAACACUUACUCCAAAAGCUAUGUCUAGACGAGUGUGAGAAAGAUAAAUAAGUUUUCCCACUAACCGUUGAUAUCUCCCCUUAUCUACCUCUUCUCCAUCCUUAUCAGUUCCUAAUUUAAGAUUGGGUUCCAUAGGAGUCUCGGCUGGUUUGCAGCCCAACAGUCCGACUUCAAAAAGUAGAUCAAGAACAUACUUUCUUUGAGAGAUUGAAAUACCUUCCUUUGACCUUGCUAUCUCCAUUCUAAGAAAAUAUCGAAGAUUUCCCAAGUCUUUAAGUUGAAACUCAAGACUUAAGAACUCUUUUAGUCUUUCAAUUUCACUAGAAUCAUCUCCUGUCAAUAUUAUGUCAUCUACAGAGACAAUGAGAAUACAACACUUCCCAUUAUUCGAAUGUUUGUAAAAUAAGGUGUGAUCAGCUUGACCUUGAGUAUAAUGUCUACUAGUCAUGGCUUUGGAAAAACGAUUAAACCAAGCCCUAGGGGAUUGCUUUAGUCCAUACAAGGACUUCUUUAACUUGCAUACUUGGCCCUUGCUUCCUUCAAAUCUAGGCAGCAAAUCCAUGUAGACUUACUUCGUUUAAUUCUCCAUUGAGAAAAGCGUUCUUUACAUCCAAUUGGAUCAAAGGCCAUUCUAAGUUGACAGCAAUUAAGAGAAGCACUCGAAUAGUAUUCAGUUUGGCCACUAGUGCAAAUGUUUCCUCAUAGUCCAACUCAUAUGUUUGAAUGAACCCCCUGGCCACAAGUCUAGCCUUGUAUCGAUCAAUGCUCCCAUCUGGUUUAAAUUUUAUGGUGAAAAUCCACUUAUAACCCACGGUCUUCUUCCUAGUAGGUAGUUUAGAUAUUUCCCAAGUUCCAUUGUUUUCAAGAGCCUUUAUUUCUUCCAACACAGCUUGCCUUCAUUUGGUUGACUUAAGAGCCUCUUCUAUGUUCUUUGGAGUUUCUACAGAGUCAACAUUAGAAACAAAGAUAUUGUAAGAUUUAGGCAAGUUUCCAUAGGAUACAAACCGAGAAAUGGGAUGUUGAGUGCAACUCAUAGUGCCCUUUCUUACUGCAAUUGGAAGAUAGAUGGAAGAUGAAGGAGGUGAAACUUCUUCCUCAGAACAAUCCUCAGGUAAAGAUGGCAUUGGCACUGCUGUUUCAGUCUCAGGCAACUGAUGUCUCCGAAAGUAUACAUGAAGCCCCUGAGUUUUUUCUUGUUGUUUUUCAGAAUGAAUGAGCUAUUUUUCUUCAUUAGUAUGGUUAAUCACCCUUGUUUCUUGUUGCUGAACAGUGGAGAUAGGAAAAACAAGGUCCAAAAUAGGAAUAACAGUGGCUGUAGGAUUUUCAGCAGGUUUUGUAGUGGUGGUAGGGCUGAUAGAGUCUUGAGGUAUAAUGAGAAGAUUGCUCAAGGUCUCAUCUUCACUAAGUAUCUCCCCCUGAAGACGAGAGGCCGAAAAAUAUGGCUCGUUUUCAAAGAAAGUAACAUCAAGGGACACAAACAUCUGGUGUAAGGUUGGAGAGUAGCACUUGUACCCUUUUUUGUGUAGGUGAGUAACCAAUAAAGACACAAGUGUGGGCUCUAGGAUCAAGUUUAGAUCGGUUAGGUUGAUGGUUGUGGACAAAUACUUUGCAACCAAAUGUUUUGGUUGGGAGAUUAGGAACACGAAACAAGGGAAAAAAUUUUGAAUAGUAUAUAAAGGUUUUUGAAAGUUUAAUAUCUUUGAUGAGAGUCGGUUUAUAAGAUAACAAGCAAUGAAGACUGCUUCUCCCCAUAAAUACUUUGGUACACCUAUAGUAAACAUAAGGGCACGAGCCACAGCUACAAGGUGUCUGUUUUUCCUCUCGAAAACCCCGUUUUGUUGAGGGGUGUCAGGACAAGAACUUUGAUGUAUGAUUCCUUGCUCAGAAAGAUAAGGACUUAGGAUAGAAUUAAAGUACUCUCUCCCAUUAUCAGUUCUAAGGGUGUAAAUAUUUGAAUUGAAUUGGGUUCGAAUCAUUGAAUGAAAAUUUUAGAAGACUCUAGAGACUUCAGAUUUUUCUUUAAGGAGAUAGACCCAACAAACUCUAGUGUGGUCAUCAAUGAAAGUUAUGAACCACCUAGCCCCUAUGAUGUUUUUUACUCGACUGGCUUCCAAUAGAUCACUAUGGAUUAAAGAGAAAGGUUGAGAUUGAACAUAAGGUUUCAAAAGAUAAGGGACACGAGUGUGUUUAGACAGUUGGCAAACUUCACAGUUCAAGGAACUUAUUUUCUUAUUUAGAAAUAGAAGAGGAAACAGUUUCUUUAAGUACAUAAAAUUCGGGUGUCCUAGUCUACGGUGCCAUAGCAUGAUAAAAUCUUCUUUUGAUGUAGAUAAGGCCAUCCCUUCUUGUGAACUGUUUUUGUCCCAAACAUAUAAGCCAUCAUCAACUUUAGCAGUGCCAAUCAUUUUCCCCGAUUCCUGUUCCUGAACCACACAACCGAAAGCAGAAAAUUCAGCAAGUACUUUUUCAUCCUUGGUAAGCUUGCUAAUUGAGAGUAAAUUACAGGAAAGAUUUGGAACAUGUAAAACUUUAUCUAGGGAAAAAAUUUUAGUAAGUUUAACUUCCCCAUUCCAGCCACUGGCGAGUAAGAUCCAUCAGCUAUGCGAAUCCGAGGCUGAUCAUGACAAGGUAAAUAGGUGUGAAACAAACUUAAAUUACCUGUCAUGUGGUCGGAUACACCUGAGUCUAGUAUCCAGGAAGUUGUGAUAGCUUCGUGUGUAGUAUUUAAAGCAACACCUUGAAUAGCUAGUGACCCACUGGUUGUAGGAGUCCCGAGUAGUUUAUGAAGAGCCUCAAGUUGAGUUUUGGUUAGCCGAACAUCUUGAGCAUCUUCUUCAAUAGUAGAUAUCAUUGCUGCCUUGUUUUCUUUCUGUUUUUUUCUAGGAUAGCCAUGGAGUUUGAAGCAUUUCUCUUUGGUAUGCCGAAUCCGAUUACAGUGGCUACACCAUGGCCUAUUUGAACCAGAAUCACUUCCAUCUUUGAACCUUUGAGAUUGUGGGCCUUUUGAAAUGAGAGCAGAGUUCUUGGAAGGAUGAUGACCAGCAAUGGUCAAUGGUUUUAGUUCUCUUGUGUCUCCCAACAUAAUAAGAUGUCGUUUCUCUUCCCUCCUUACUUUAGCAAAUGCUUCUCCUAUGGUUGGCAGUGUGGUUCUGCCUAGUAUUCAUCCUCGGACCUCAUCAAGAUCAUGAUUUAGUCCUGCUAGGAACUCAUAGAGACGCUCUUUGUUAAGAUGAUCCAUGAACUUGGUGUGUUCCGAGCCCUAGCCCAAAUCAGCUUCAUAAUACAUGUCUAACUUCUGUCAUAAGAUCUUUAGGUUGUUGUAAUAUUGAGUGACUUCAAGUGUUCCUUGUCGAAUAUCUUUCAACUUUAAUUUGAUCUCGAAUACUUGGGAAGCAUUUCCAAGAUCUGAGUAAUUCUCCUUGAUUGCAUCCCACAUUUCUUUGGCAGUUUUAAAAAAAAGAUACGUUCGGCUUAUAUGACCUUCCAUCGAAUUUAUAGGCCAAGCCAUAACCAUUGAGUUGUUAAGCUCCCAAGUUGCAUAACCAGAGUCUAUUGAUGCUGGUCGAGGAAUUUGUCCAUUAAUGUACCCAAUUUUUCCUCGGCCACGAAGAACUAUAAGGACAGAUUGUGACCAUUGCAGGAAAUUUUUUCCAUCUAAUCGAUAAUUUGUGAUUAUAAGAGAAGAGUAAAGGUCACCUUGUGGGAUUUCUUGGCUGUGAUUUUAAGUUAUUUGUGAGAUCUUAGUCUCAAAAGAAUUUUUAGUGUCACCCGUGGGAGUAGGGUUUCUAACAGAGAAAACAGAACAAGAAAAGAGAAGGAAGAGCAGGAUCAACUGGAUUCCUGAUGCUCUUGAUACCAUGAACAAGUUUAGGAAGAAGAAUAAUUCUUAUUUCUUCUAAUCUGAAUACAACCUUUUAAAUAAUAGUAGGAAAAAUAAAAAAAGAAAUAAUCUCUAGAAAUUAUCCUAUCCCUAAAAAUUAGUAAUUAGAUUAUGGCUAAUAGUACAAGGAAAUUCCUAGAACUAAGGUAGAAAAUCUGCUUAAAUUAAGGAAUUCUAACAACGAAGAUUAACAUGUCGUAAAUAAGCCCUUUGGAGGUUUGUACCCUUCAAAUUCGUAUUGCUUAAUUUCGCACCCUGAAGCCAUGUUCAUCACAAUAAACUUAAUCACACUAAACAUGUUGGGUCAAAACAAUUCAUUCAAAUGUUUAUCAAUAACAUCGAGCUUGCUAGAGUUAUCAGGAUAAGUUGUCGCACAUAUCAAAUUAAGUUAUAGAACCCUAGUAUUUUCUAUUUAGGUUCCUAAUGAUAACUUCACAUAAAUAAAAUGAUACAUGUGCUAAAGCAAUUGACUUGUAAACGCCAUGCUUAAGGGUCUCUUCCCUUCAAAUUGGCUCCUUCAAGAUUAGCUCCCUCUAAGUUGGCAUCAGUAAGAUCAGCACUCUAAAAGUCUAGAUAUUAAGCAUAUUAAUAGUUUACAAUAACACAAUUGACACACUAAGCAUAUAAUUUUAAUUUUAAUCAUUCAACCGAACCAUUAUAGCUCAAACAAUCACGAAUCUGAAAAUAUUAUUCCAACAAGCUUAAGGAAUUUAUAGUAACCUAAGAUCUUGUAAUUUCCUACUUUAUAUAUGCACAUUCUAUUCAAUUCAAUGAACCACAUUUGCUUGUUGAUUUUAAUUUAGUGAAUCACCUAUAAGUGUGAAGAACGAAGAUCGGCCCCACAGAAGCUACAAUCUAUCAAAGAAGCAUCUGCAACAAUGUAAUUGAUGAUGAUACAUCAAUAUUUAAACCUUAACAAUAAAUAGUAACAUUUAGCUAAGUUACUUGGACACUAGUCUGAAUGUCCGCUAUGGAUAUGUACAAUUUUUCUAUUUCAGGAGUUCCAUGUAUUUGAAGAGUCUUUAUAGGACCGUAUCUCUAUAUCUAUAUCCAGACAUGUGUCUACCAUAAGUAUUGGACUUCGGUACUUCAAGAAUAUAGACAUUUAGUAAGAAAUCUACUAACUAUAGAAAGAUGGCAAAUAUUUUCCUUGAAGAUUUGCACUCUGAAGAUUCGCCCCAGCUAGUAAAACCCCACGAAGAUUUGCCCCUGUAAAUUCACACCUUCCUUAGGCAAAAAAAAAAAACCGUUGCAAACAAAGUUCAUAAGAAAAUGUACUCUCCAAAAAGAAUAAAUAAUUCUGAGGAUCUUACUCGCGCAAAGUUGCAUUGUGAAAAUUCGAACACACAACAUCCACAUCCUGUUACAAAAACAAAGAGGUUUAUUAUAAGUAUGGGCUUAAAUUUAAUUAAAGCAUUUACAGUUAAUCACAUACUUCACUUCAGAAUCAGACAUACCCGAAAUUUUGCACACUGAAGAUUUACACGUGAGAAAAAUACGUUUUUGAGACAGGCAAAGCUGAAAUCCACAAAUGAAAGUUCUUGCACAAAUAAAUAGGAAAAACUGAGAUGAUGAAUCCAAAGUGCAAUAACAAGCGGCAUUACAUUACUUCUGCUUCUUCAUUAGACUUGAAGUUGAACCACAAGGGAUCAAAUGAUAAUAAAGAGAGACAUCAAACAUUCGGAUUAAAAAUAAAACACACACACAUUCAACAAUCCAAAAGAAAAUGCCACAAAUAACCACCAUCAUCAUGGAAUAGCGAAAAUGAGAAAACUAGUAUUAGUGCCAACAAGCAUGCACAAAAGCUACAAACAGAAGAUCAAUGAGACCGAGUCUUGCUUCCUGCGAACAAUGAUUCUACUUCUCGAAAAUAAGAGUUUCCCACAAGAUUUUGUCAAAAAUUUGGGAUCAGAAAUUAUUUACCAAUUUAGAGAUAUCAAUGCCAAAAAGGUUAACUCCUCGAAAUUUAACUCUUUCAGACUGUAUGCACUUGAUGAUAUCGGUACGCGUCAAUUCUGCUGGAGACUUUUCAUCUUCUUUCUUCUUAUUAAGAACAGAACUGAUUUCUUAUUAAGAACAGAACUGAUUCCUUCUAUUAAUCCCUGAAUCAUAUCACAUAAUACUGUCACUGAACAAAAUUUCAAGAGAUCAUACCAUGAGUGCAAAUAACAAUCACCUAAAACUGUUGCAACGAUCGAGAUCCAAGCAUUUCACACGAUGUCGUUAGUAGGAAGGAAGAUCGCUCUAUAAACAGUAGCACUGGCGCCAUAACCAACCUCUUCUAGAAGCUUGUAAUCACUGGGAUUCGCUGAGUAACUCUGACUUCCUCCCAUUCUCCCAAAACCUAAAGCCUUAAACCGCCUUUUGGAAAAAGAACCAAAUCACUGGCAGUCGAGUAAUCGACGUUGAAUGCCGGCGGCAGAGUAAUUAAAGUAAAAGAAUCGUAGUGAAAAUCAAAAAGGCGGUAAUGAAGACUAGAAAUGUAUAGGGUUUUUUUCUUUUUGUCAAUGAAACUACUGCUGAUUGUUUUUGAUACAGAGAUGAAUUAUCGGUUGGGGACGCAAUGAGGGGAAAGAGAAGGAGAAGGAGAAAGCGUUUCAAGAUGCUGGGAUGUGAAGAGGAAACCGAAUUAGAAACUGUAAGACAUUUUCCCCAAAAAAACACUUCCUUUUCCCGUAUUUUGUAAAAUAUUUUACGGUGAAAAAUCAUAUCCAGCCAAACAAACAAUAGAAAAUACUGAAAAGGCUUUUACAGCUAAACAAACGGAGCCUAAAAGUCAUAUGGAUAAUGAAUUAUUGAUAAUAAAGACCAAAUAUUAAUAUAAUAAAUUUUGAAAAACAUAAAAAUUAGAAACCAAAUAAUAAAUUUUCAAAUUUUAAUAAUUAAAAUAAAACUUCUCAACAAACUUAGUGGUGAAAACUAUAAUUUAGAUUUUAUACUUCCAAAAAUAUAAUAGCUUGUGGACAAUGUUAUGUUACAAGUUAGAAGGUGUGGCAAUAUCAGAUAUCAUUUAAUAUGUAUCAUAACAUUGACAUGCUAUUCAAUCAUUAAUCUCUAACGAGUAACCAUAAUUUUUAUAUUCUUAACGUUAGUGUCAAAACGAAUAAUUUUAAUAGUUGAUUAAUAAAAUUUAAAUAUCUUAUUUAAUUGGAUGGUUGUUUUCAUAAUUUAUUCCUAUAAGCAACAUAAUGAAAAAUAAUUGAUAGAUAAUAAUAAAUGAUUAAUAGUAACUAACAAAAUUAUUUUAAAGAUGAUAUCACAUUCAGCAUAUCUGGAAUGAAAAGAGUUAUCAUUAUUUUUUGGUGAAUUAUAAUAACAAUGCAAAACCCAAACAAUAAACGCAAUUAGUGCGACUUGAACCCAAGCCACAUUUAAGGUGAUAAACACCCUUAACCAUCAAGCCAUUAGAUGGGAUUCAAAAAAGUUAUCACUUUUAACAUAGUAAUAAAAUCAAUCAUUAGGGUCUCGCUCAUUCUCAUACAAAUCACAGGAAUGCUAUGAAGGGUUAGAAUCAUCAAAAUAACUUAGGGUAAAGUGAAAUCACAAAGCUUCACGCAUCUGUAUGCCAUGUUCCAUGGGUCUCCUUUUCUACGACAAGCGCAACAAUUCACCGAGGUAUUAAAACUUGAAAUUUUUUCAUUAUGUUUAUGCUAAUAUCUUUGUAUCACUUUUUAAAGGAUUUUAUGCAAUGAAAAGUGAUAAAAACGAAGAAUAUAUCUUGCUAAAGAAGGAAUUUUGAAGAGAUGUAGUGUAAUUAUCUUUUCUUAUUUAACAAACAUGCAAUCAAACGUAUUUUUAUUUAUCUCAAAUUGUAUAUCAAUAUUAAUGGUGGUUGAUAUGGGCCGAAAAAUUUUAGAGAUUUUAUUCUCAUCACACUAACUUGAAAAAAGUUUUAGACUAACUUGAAAAAAGUUUUAGUGUGAGAGUUUACUCAUUAUAGUUGUACGAGAGUAAUGCUGCAACAAGCAUUAAUUAAAUUAAACUUAAAUAGUCUUUUAUAGUGGAAUCUUCUUUAAAAAAAGUCACAUACAUAUAAAAUUAAAUCUGAAUUAUGUAUUCUUAAUUAAUUUUUAAAAAAAUUUUGGAGUUAUUUCUAAUAAUUACAACUCACAUAACAUACUCUCUUUUUUUCCUGCUCUGAAUUCACCAGCUGUGUUUUUGGCACCCAAAAAGACUAAAGUUUAAAGAAGAAAAUAUGCUAUUUGGGCUGGAAGACUUUGCCAUAUGGUAGCUUUAGUUGAUAAAAAGAACAAACAAAGGCAAGAACACAAAAAUCAUUUGGGAUUUAAAAUUUGGUGGCUGCAGAAUUUGAUUCUUAAAUAUAACAAAGGAAUGUAAUCGUGGGCUAAAAACGAGUUCCCCAUACUAUUAGUUGCUGUUGUAUGCCUCUUUUCUUCUAUCAUAGCUUCUAUAUUAUUUUCUCUUACAUUCAAUUUUUAAUGUGUUUCUUUUUCGGCCAUUCAAUUUUUAAAAACAAAAUCUUAAUUAUUAUUGUUAUCAGCAUUUUAAUCAUCCACCGAUUAAAUUAUUAAUGGAAUGUCAACAACAACCAUAAUAAUAAAUUUAACUUUCCUAUAUUUAUAUUUUCUAUUAAUUUAAUCUUAUUUCUAAAAAUUUCAACAAGUGAGGUUGAUGCUAAAACAAAUGAAAAUGAAAUUUUUUUUAAAGAACUUUAAAAAAAAAAAGUUGACAUAUGACAAAAUUGACCCUUAAAGUUCUCAUAAUUUGUUUUCUACUAUUUUGUUUUAAAAGAAUUUUCAAAUAUAUAUAGUAUUUAGAGAUAAAUCUCAAAAUUAUACAUGAACUUUAAUUCAAUGUGCAAUUUGAUACAUCAACUUUAAUUUGGUGCAAAUGUACAUAUGAAAUUUUGAUUGUAGUUCAAAUGUAUCCAUGAAACUUUAAUUUUGUUUCAAUCAUACACAUUUAGAAAAAUAAAUACAUCAAUUUACUUUUAUAUUGGGUUAAAUAUAGUUAUUUGUAUAUGCAAUAUAUAAAUAUAAAGUGGUGUUAUAUCAAUAAUUGUAUUAAUAAUUUGUGAUAAUUAAAUCAAAUCAAAUCAAAAUUUCAUGUAUAAAAUUGUAUAAAAUCAAAGUUCAUGUAUAAAAUUACAUAUUAAAUCAAAGUCCAUAUAUAGUUUUGAGAUUUAUCCCAUAGUAUAUAGUUUUUUAACUUGGAACUUAGUCAUAUUGUCAACAGGUUUGUGAUCAAUUUAAUUUUUUAAAAUUUAACGCAAAGAAAUGUAUUCGACCUAACUCGACACGAAUCUCACUUAACUCAAUUUGAUUCGAAAAAAAUUUAAAUUGAAUUAGGAUGAUAAAAUAAGACGCCUCAACUUGAUUAACUUGAAUUCUUUUACUCAAUUCGACUUGAUUCGAUCGGAUGCUUACCCCUAACUGAGAAUAUUCUGAAUUCAAAUGACUAAAUUAAAAUACCGCAUCAUCCUCACCAAAAAAAAAAAUUUCUCAUUGUACUCGCGACUUGAGUAUUUAAAUUAUGCCGGUGAGUUGGACGGAGGCAUAAAAACUUCAAAUUCAACGAUUUCGACCUGAUAAUCAAGAAAAAUUGAUACAUCUAUCUCGUUCUGUUGUCAUUUUUAGAUGAAUGAUAUAUAUAAAAACAACUGUGUUUUUAUUUUAUUUGUAGAGUUAAAAUUAUUUAAUUUUAUAUAAAAUUAUUUUGGUUAUUAGCUCAAUGAUUGGGAAACCUGAUUUAAUAAGAUUUUUUGCAAUUUGUUACAAAUUGUUAGAUUUCUUAAUACAUACUUUAAAUGAUUUAUUGACCAUCCUUCAACAAAUGUAAUUAGAUGCCCAUCGAUGUAACUUCCAAUCGCCAGCUUUGGCAGUUUUUACUUAGCAAGAGUAAACUACGAGCAUUUGAACUUUCAAAAUUACUAGAUAUACUAUGGAUAACUUGGUUCAUUUUGUGACAACAUAAUUGGAAUAAAGGAAAAGUACAUAUUCAAGAGAAGUUUAAAGUGAGCUAUCAAAGUCUCGAUUAAGCUCGAAAACUUGCUCAACUCCAUAAAAAAAAAAAAAAAUCCAAAAUCCAUUCAUACACUCCUAUAAUUAUUCCCUGCAAUUUCUUUUAAUGUUUGGUAGAAAACGGUACUAACCUUGUGGGAGUUCUGUUCAUUCAUAUACUCUGUUCCAUCCUUGAGCAGAACAUAACAACCCAACAAGAAAACAUAUGAGAACAACCCAAUAAAAAAACAGAUGAUUAACUGAUUACAGAUUGUGUUUCAUCUAAACAAACUUCAAGUGCUCAAGCAUUAAUAACAUAAUGAAAAGCAAAAGGCAUGAGCGUUGUUGGCAAAUCGGCGCACCCAUGCUAAUACUAAUAGAUCUGUGGAGUUGAAACUUGUUUGUUUCACCAAGGCGAACUUGGAAUAUCAUUCAUUAGAGUUGGAGAACCUGGGAAGUGUUGCAGCGCAAUCCCAGUGGAUGCUAAAGUUGCAUUCAGAUUCUUUACAUUGUAGAGCUUGUCCAUUACAAACCUCGCCGCAAACUUUACAUGGAGGGCAAUCCCAUAUGUUUUUCACAAUAGUGAAUGGAUGUGGGUGAUUAUGAAAAAGACCCUUGUAAAGGUUGCUUCCAAUCUUCAGAAAUGGGAUAUCCCCAAGAGCACAUUUGGAAUGGAGAGUGUUAUCACAUUCAGCACAGUAGUAAAACCAAUCAUUUGGGUCCCUUUCAUGCUCACACAGAUCACAAUAAUGUUGAGAAGGAUCAGAAUCAUCAGAACAAGCUAGAGUAAGAAGAUGUCUAUCAUACUUAUACCAAGCUGUGAGAGGUAACGUGGCACAAUGUAGAUCUAAUAUGAAAUCACAACGCUUAGUGCAUCUAUAUGCUAUUGCCGAUAAGUAGUAAUUUUCUCUACGACAAGCAUUGUAACUCGUUGAAAAGUUGUGGAUAAGGAACAAUAAAUGCUCGUGACUUGGAUGCUCCAAAGUGUCCGAUAAUAAAAUACACCGAAUGUCACAUUCAAAUGCGCAACCUUUAUCAUCGCAUUUGUAGCUAAAUCCAUGGUAAAAACGUCUGCAAGAACUACAUAAUGGAUAAACACUUGUGUUUGAUUUUUUUAGCAUAAGUGCGUGCUUGUGAAAUGGGUGUCGUUUUUUUCUCGACAAUUCAGCGCAUUCUUUAUGGAGAAAAAACUUACAUUGCUCACAACUAUAAAAAGGAGUUGAGAUAGGCCUCAUACACCCAUCACAUUGGCCAUCGUCGUUCAUCUCCCCACUAAAAGUGAGUCUUAAAUUAUGAUCAUGAUAAGCAUGUUUGAUCUCAACUGCUACCGUAUUCUCUCCAAAACUCAUUUGUUCAACAACAUCGGUAAUCCAAUUUAUAGAUUCAUCAAGAGCUACCAUGGACCUCUCAUCAUAGUCUUCAGGGAUGCUUUUUCCAUCCCAAACUGCUUUAUCUGUUGCACAAUGCACAUGAGCAAUAUAAUUGCAAUCAGAAGCAGAGCAAUGGUAACUGCCAUACCUCGUAUCGACUUCCUCGUAACAAAUUCUGCACAACUCAUCCAGUUGCGUAAGAGAAUAUGAGUGAGAAAUAACAUGAUGAUGUCGCGUUAUCAUGAUAUUCUGUGGCAAUGAAAUGCAAUUUUUAUGGACAAGAAGGUUACAUGUAGCACAGAGAUAAGGGGUGCGAUCUCCAGUGGUGCCACAAAAAUCACAAAUAAAUGACAUUUGUCUUGAUAGAAGCAUCCAUGGGUGUUCAUGACUUGCAUUCGUGAUUGUUUGUGGUGAGAAAAAAUCAUCAAGAGUAAGCUCAAUCUUGCAAAAAGAGCAAGAAUAAAUAAACCCUUUCCACUGAAUUUUGCACAAGUAACAGCUACAGUUGUGAAGAUGAGUAGGUGGUUUCGGCAAGAGAGUAAGGGGAUGCUUACGGCGGUCGUAGGGGUGAUUAAUCUCAAGAGGUAGUUCUGCACAUUGCUUAUGAAGGAUAAAGCAGCGUUUAUCUAAACAAUAGUAAAUUGGACCAGAUACUGGUUUCAUACAUCCG